UCGUACAACAGGGGGUGCCGGGGCUGUCGCUGACCUUUUAAGGUCGUGCACGCCUCGAGCGCUCUCACUUACAAUCCAACUCACCCUUUGUGCAUCACCGCGCGGGCUCCCUUCGAAAGAGGGGAUGCUUGCGUUUUCACACGUACACACAAUUACAUAGAAUGUUCACACUUGCGAUCACACGCAAAUCAAUA
Molecule: unclassified non-coding RNA, 194 nt
Filed under: uncultured Lactifluus
Lineage: Eukaryota; Fungi; Basidiomycota; Agaricomycetes; Russulales; Russulaceae
Description: sequence contains ITS1
Source: RNAcentral